ACUCUUCAACCCACCAGUUUCUAGUGAACUGUUGUGGAGUUUGGAUUUUGAGCGCUGCUAAUCUGAUUAGCUCGUUCGUAAUAUAUUAGCAUUCUCGAAUUCGAAUUCGGCUUGACUCAGUGUAAUAGACUAUUCGCUGAGGACACUAUUAAUUUAGUGGCCGAACUAGAAACAGUAGAAGCUUCCAAUUCUUGCUAGUCAAAUUUUGA
Molecule: unclassified non-coding RNA, 209 nt
Filed under: uncultured fungus
Lineage: Eukaryota; Fungi
Description: sequence contains ITS2
Source: RNAcentral